RNAcentral lists this ribosomal RNA (443 nucleotides) under uncultured bacterium. RNAcentral describes it as "partial 16S ribosomal RNA". It matches the Rfam family "Bacterial small subunit ribosomal RNA", at positions 338 to 795 of the family's 1533-position model. The record is from RNAcentral.
CCUACGGGUGGCAGCAGUGGGGAAUAUUGCACAAUGGGGGGAACCCUGAUGCAGCAAUGCCGCGUGAAGGAUGAAGGUUUUCGGAUUGUAAACUUCUUUUGUACGGGACGAAGAAAGUGACGGUACCGUAAGAAUAAGCCACGGCUAACUACGUGCCAGCAGCCGCGGUAAUACGUAGGUGGCAAGCGUUAUCCGGAUUUACUGGGUGUAAAGGGCGAGUAGGCGGGAUUGCAAGUCAGAUGUGAAAACUAUGGGCUCAACCGAUAGAGUGCAUUUGAAACUGCAGUUCUUGAGUGAUGGAGAGGCAGGCGGAAUUCCCGGUGUAGCGGUGAAAUGCUUAGAGAUCAUACAGAACACCGAUUGCGAAGGCAGCUUACCAAGCUACUUCUGACGUUGAGGCACGAAAGCGUGGGGAGCAAACAGGAUUAGAUACCCCAGUAGUC